This 87-nucleotide transfer RNA is filed under the name Calditrichota bacterium. RNAcentral describes it as "Calditrichaeota bacterium tRNA-Ser". It matches the Rfam family "tRNA". Rfam says of the family: Transfer RNA (tRNA) molecules are approximately 80 nucleotides in length. Lineage: Bacteria; Pseudomonadati; Calditrichota. The record is from RNAcentral.
GGAGAGAUGUCUGAGUGGCUUAAGGAGCACGCUUGGAAAGCGUGUGUAGGGCUUUCCCUACCGAGGGUUCGAAUCCCUCUCUCUCCG